GCCAGCCCGCUCAGAAACUACAAAGGAAUUGACGGGGCCCGCACAAGCGGAGGAACAUGUGGUUUAAUUCGAUGAUACGCGGGGAACCUUACCCGGGCUUGAAAUGCAUCUGGCGUCCCGAGAGAUCGGGAUUCCCACGGGACAGAUGCGUAGGUGCUGCAUGGUUGUCGUCAGCUCGUGCCGUGAGGUGUCGGCUUAAGUGCCAUAACGAGCGCAACCCCUACCGUUAGUUGCCAUCAGGUCAAGCUGGGGACUCUAACGGGACUGCCAUCGUAAGGUGCGAGGAAGGUGGGGAUGACGUCAAAUCAGCACGGCCCUUACGUCCGGGGCGACACACGUGUUACAAUGGGUGGUACAAAGGGCAGCUACAUGGCGACAUGGUGCCAAUCUCCAAAACCACUCUCAGUUCGGAUCGGAGUCUGCAACUCGACUCCGUGAAGCUGGAUUCGCUAGUAAUCGCGCAUCAGCCACGGCGCGGUGAAUACGUUCCCGGGCCUU
RNAcentral lists this ribosomal RNA (498 nucleotides) under uncultured Proteiniphilum sp. RNAcentral describes it as "bacterial SSU rRNA". It matches the Rfam family "Bacterial small subunit ribosomal RNA", at positions 903 to 1382 of the family's 1533-position model. Lineage: Bacteria; Pseudomonadati; Bacteroidota; Bacteroidia; Bacteroidales; Dysgonomonadaceae. The record is from RNAcentral.